Callithrix jacchus (white-tufted-ear marmoset) is the source of this 2004-nucleotide non-coding RNA. NCBI's taxonomy places the organism in Eukaryota, Metazoa, Chordata, Mammalia, Primates, Cebidae. The record is from RefSeq and is a predicted model, not a curated record.
UUGAAAUAAUGAAAGAAAAGAUCACUGUGGUUAAUAAUAAAUACUGAGAAGGGUUAUCAUUAAAAUGAUCCAUUGCCAAUAUUUUCUGCCAAGAAAAUAUUUAAAUAUUUUUUGAGUUUUCAAAGUAAAUCUCUAUGGCAAGACAUCUAGUUUGGUUCUUUUUUUUUUUUUGAGACAGAGUUUCGCUCUUGUUACCCAGGCUGGAGUGCAAUGGCAUGGUCUCGGCUCACCGCAAUUUCCGCCUCCUGGGUUCAGGCAAUUCUCCUGCCUCAGCCUCCCGAGUAGCUGGGAUUACAGGCACACGCCACCGUGCCCAGCUAAUUUUUUGUAUUUUUAGUAGAGACAGUGUUUCACCAUGUUGACCAGGAUGGUCUCGAUCUCUUGACCUUGUGAUCCACCCGCCUCGGCCUCCCAAAGUGCUGGGAUUACAGGUGUGGUUUCGUUCUUUAUAAUUGUAGAUUUUAAAGUGUUCUCUGUUCUGCCUGCUUCUUGAUGUUUAUCAAAAUGUGUUACAAACGAUACAUAGUUUGUAUUGUUCCUAACAUUUUAAUUACUUUAGUGAUUAUUUUUAUUCUAUAAAAAUCUUUUCUCCUGGUCGUUGGCAAAGCCUGAGCCCUGUCCUCUCACUCUCCUUCCUGGCAGCAUGAGCUUCACCACUCGCUCCUCCUUUUCUACCAACUCCCAGUCCGUGGGCUUUGUCCAGGUGCCCAGCUACGGCUCCUGGCCGGUCAGCAGCGCGGCCAGCGUCUGUGCAGGUGCCGGGGGCUCUGGUUCCCACGUCUCUGUGACGCUCUCCACCAGCUUCUGGAGUGUCAUGGGGUCAGGGGCCUGGCCGCGGGGAUGGCCAGGGGUCUGGCAGGAAUGGGAGGCAUCCAGAACGAGAAGGAGACCAUGCAAAUCCUAAACGACCACCUGGCCUCCUACCUGGUCAGAGUCAGGAGCCUGGAGACCGAGAACUGGAAGCUGGAGAGCAAAAUCCAGGAGCACCUGGAGAAGAAGGGACCCUAGGUCAGAGACUGGGGCCAUUACUUCAAGACCAUUGAGGACCUGAGGGCUCAGAUCUUCUCAAAUACUGUGAACAAUGCCCGCAUCGUUCUGCAGAUUGACAGUGCUCGUCUUGCUGCUGAUGACUUUAGAGUCAAACAUGAGACAGAGCUGGCCAUGCGCCAGUCUGGAGAGCGACAUCCAUGGUGUCCGCAAGGUCAUCAAUUACACCAAUGUCACUCGGCUGCAGCUGGAGACAGAGAUCGAUGCUCACAAGGAGGAACUGCCCUUCAUGAAGAAGAACGAUGAAGAGGAAAUAAAUGGUCUACAAGCCCAGAUUGCCAGCUCUGGGUUGACCGUGGAGGUAGAUGCCCCCAAAUCUCAGGACCUCGCUAAGAUCAUGGCAGAAAUCCGGGCUCAAUAUGACGGCUGGCUCGGAAGAACCGAGAGGAGCUAGACAAGUACCGGACUCAGCUGAUUGAGGAGAGUACCACAAUAGUCACCACACAGUCCACUGAGGUGGAAGCUGCUGAGAUGAUGCUCACAGAGCUGAGAUGUACAGUCUAGUCCUUGGAGAUCGACCUGGACUCCAUGAGAGAUACGAAGAUCAGCUGGGAGAACAGCCUGAGGGAGGGAGGCCCACUACACCUUUCAGAUGGAGCAGCUCAAAGGGAUCCUGCUACACCUGGAGUCAGAGCUAGCACAGACCCGGGCAGAGGGACAGCGCCAGGCCCAGGAGUACGAGGCUCUGCUGAACAUCAAGGUCAAGCUGGAGGCUGAGAUCGCCACCUAUCGCCACCUGCUGGAAGAUGGCGAGGACUUCAGUCUUAGUGAUGCGUUGAACAGCAGCAACUCCAUGCAAACCAUCCAAAAGACGACCACCUGCCAGAUAGUGGAUGGCAAAGUUGUGUCUGAGACCAAUGACACCAAAGUUUUGAGACGUUAGGCCAGCAGAAGCAGGGGACCCUUGGGGGAGCAGGAGGCCAAUAAAAAGUUCAGAGGUCAAAAAAAAAAAAAAAA